RNAcentral lists this ribosomal RNA (807 nucleotides) under uncultured bacterium. Its description in RNAcentral is "bacterial SSU rRNA". It matches the Rfam family "Bacterial small subunit ribosomal RNA", at positions 8 to 803 of the family's 1533-position model. The record is from RNAcentral.
AGAGUUUGAUCCUGGCUCAGAGCGAACGCUGGCGGCGUGCUUAACACAUGCAAGUCGAGCGGAAAGGCCCCUUCGGGGGUACUCGAGCGGCGAACGGGUGAGUAACACGUGGGUAACCUGCCCCAAAGCCCGGGAUAACGUUUCGAAAGGAACGCUAAUACCGGAUGUUGUGCAACCUGCCAAGCGGGUUGUACCAAAGGUAGCUUCGGCCUCCGCUUUGGGAUGGGCCCGCGCAGCAUAAGCUUGUUGGUGGGGUAAUGGCCUACCAAGGCUACGAUGCUUAGCUGGUCUGAGAGGACGAUCAGCCACACUGGGACUGAGAUACGGCCCAGACUCCUACGGGAGGCAGCAGUGGGGAAUCUUGCGCAAUGGGCGAAAGCCUGACGCAGCAACGCCGCGUGAGCGAAGAAGGCCUUCGGGUUGCAAAGCUCUGUCAGGAGGGACGAAGCCACUCGGGUUAAUAGCCCAGAGGGUGACGGUACCUCCAGAGGAAGGUCCGGCUAACUACGUGCCAGCAGCCGCGGUAAUACGUAGGGACCUAGCGUUGUCCGGAAUUAUUGGGUGUAAAGAGCGUGUAGGCGGCUUGCCAAGUCCGAUGUGAAAACUCGGGGCUUAACCCCGAGCCUGCAUUGGAAACUGGCUUGCUUGAGCCCGGAAGAGGGGACUGGAAUUCCUGGUGUAGCGGUGAAAUGCGCAGAUAUCAGGAAGAACACCCGUGGCGAAGGCGGGUCCCUGGGACGGUACUGACGCUGAGACGCGAAAGCGUGGGGAGCGAACAGGAUUAGAUACCCUGGUAGUCCACGCCGU